GAUGAACGCUGGCGGCGUGCCUAAUACAUGCAAGUCGAGCGAACAGACGAGGAGCUUGCUCCUCUGACGUUAGCGGCGGACGGGUGAGUAACACGUGGAUAACCUACCUAUAAGACUGGGAUAACUUCGGGAAACCGGAGCUAAUACCGGAUAAUAUAUUGAACCGCAUGGUUCAAUAGUGAAAGACGGUUUUGCUGUCACUUAUAGAUGGAUCCGCGCCGCAUUAGCUAGUUGGUAAGGUAACGGCUUACCAAGGCAACGAUGCGUAGCCGACCUGAGAGGGUGAUCGCCCACACGGGAACUGAGACACGGUCCAGACUCCUACGGGAGGCAGCAGUAGGGAAUCUUCCGCAAUGGGCGAAAGCCUGACGGAGCAACGCCGCGUGAGUGAUGAAGGUCUUCGGAUCGUAAAACUCUGUUAUUAGGGAAGAACAAAUGUGUAAGUAACUAUGCACGUCUUGACGGUACCUAAUCAGAAAGCCACGGCUAACUACGUG
Molecule: ribosomal RNA, 497 nt
Filed under: uncultured bacterium
Lineage: Bacteria
Description: partial 16S ribosomal RNA
Rfam family: Bacterial small subunit ribosomal RNA
Source: RNAcentral